AAUAGGUUAUAAGUACUGUAAAGGAAAUUUUGAAAUAUGGGUGAAAAAUAAACAUAAAAAUAGUACUUAUUAGCAAGGGUACCUUUUGUAUCAGUGGUUAUCAAAAUUUUAAUGUAUAACAAUUUCUCGAAAAUAAAAGAUUUAUAAGUAUUAUUUAGUUUUUGUGUCAAUAAAAUUGAAAAAAUACUUAUAGGGGUUAUAUACUAAUCGCUUUUAUUAAUAUCUAGUUACUUUUGAAACAAAUUUAGUUUGAAAAAUAGAGGAUUUUUUUAUUUUUGAAAACAGUCUAGAAAUUUUUUUAUCUUUUAGGGGAUGAGCUCUAAAAGAAACUUAUAAAAUGUAAAUUUUCUUAUUUUGAAAUAGGCUUAGAAUUAGCUACUGGAAAGUGUAAUUACUUUUAUUGGCAAGGUUAGAAUUUAACAUUUUUUUCAUAAUAAAAAAAGUAAAACUUAAAAUUUAAAAUUCGUUGGUAAAAUGAUAAUAUAAGUAGAUAUGAUUAUGGGGGAUGAGUUUUGAAUCUUCCUUUUUAUUUUUUGAUAAAUAUAGUAAUAAAAGAACUCGGCAAAUAACAUUUUCGAAUGUUUAACAAAAACAUUUCCUUCUUGUUAAGAAGGUAAGGCCUGCUCACUGAAAAUUAAAGAGCCGCAGUAUUUUGACUGUGCUAAGGUAGCAUAAUCAUUAGUCUUUUAAUUGGAGACUGGUAUGAAUGGCUAAACGAAAAAUGAACUUUUUUUGUUACUAAGAUUGAAUUUAACUUUUAAGUGAAAAGGCUUAAAUAGUUCAGAAAGACGAGAAGACCCUAUAGAGUUUAAUAUGUUAAGAAUAUAGAUUUUUUAGAUUUUUUUAAUUUAUGUUUACGGUUCGUAUUUUGUUGGGGCGACAUUAAGAUAAGAGUAACUCUUGAUAUUAAAAACUUCAAUAGAAGUUUAUUUGAUCCUUUAAAAAAGAUUACAAGGAAAAAUUACCUUAGGGAUAACAGCGUAAUCUUUUUUGAGAGUUCUAAUCGACAAAAAGGUUUGCGACCUCGAUGUUGGACUAAAAUUUAGGCAAGGUGCAGCAGUUUUGCUUUAGGGUCUGUUCGACCCUUAAAAUUUUACACGAUCUGAGUUCAGACCGGCGUGAGCCAGGUUGGUUUCUAUCUUCUGGGACAGUUAAUUUAAUUUAGUACGAAAGGAUUAAUUAAUAGUAAAUUUUACUUUUUGAGAAUAUUAUUAACAGUGAAAUUAUAAAUUUUGUAAUAAAAACUAAUGUAAAACCUUGUUUCUUUUAUGAUAAAAUUCGGGAAUAAUAUUUUGGUGUUGAAAAAUUAA
RNAcentral lists this ribosomal RNA (1310 nucleotides) under Pollicipes pollicipes. Its description in RNAcentral is "16S ribosomal RNA". The stretch from base 782 to 1145 matches the Rfam family "Bacterial large subunit ribosomal RNA", at positions 2073 to 2647 of the family's 2925-position model. Lineage: Eukaryota; Metazoa; Arthropoda; Thecostraca; Pollicipedomorpha; Pollicipedidae. The record is from RNAcentral.